This 292-nucleotide ribosomal RNA is filed under the name uncultured bacterium. Its description in RNAcentral is "partial 16S ribosomal RNA". It matches the Rfam family "Bacterial small subunit ribosomal RNA", at positions 505 to 796 of the family's 1533-position model. The record is from RNAcentral.
GUGCCAGCAGUCGCGGUAAUACGAAGGGGGCUAGCGUUGUCCGGAAUCAUUGGGCGUAAAGCGCGUGUAGGCGGCUCACUAAGUCCGCUCUGAAAGCCCGGGGCUCAACCCCGGGAGGCGGGUGGAUACUGGUGAGCUUGAGUCCGGAAGAGGCGAGUGGAAUUCCUGGUGUAGCGGUGAAAUGCGCAGAUAUCAGGAGGAACACCAAUGGCGAAAGCACUCUGCUGGGCCGACACUGACACUGAGAGACGAAAGCUAGGGGAGCAAAUGGGAUUAGAUACCCCUGUAGUCC